CUAGUUUGUUCUUCUGAUGCAGGAGCCAUUCACAGAGGAGAUUUCAGCAGAGCUCCGGGGCAGAGGAGAUCUAUUCCGCUCUAUCCAGGAGCUGUUUUUCUGGAGGAUCCAACUCUGGCCACCUUGCCAGAGCUCUGAUUCCUUUGAGGAGGUGACUGUGGACUUCACAGAUGAGGCUGCUAGAUUCCAGCCAGAAGGCCUUGUGCAGAGAAGUCGUGCAGGAGUUUUCUAGGAAUAAGGCUGCUCUGGGUAAGGCCAGGCUGUUCAAUUCUCUAUAAGGCCAUAGUAGAAAUAUUCACCAUAGAAUUGAGAAAUGUCCUAAAUACACCAUGGAAGUGACUGAAUAGAUUGACUGAUCAACACCAAAGCUUUAACCUGCUUUUUCGCUGAAAUCAUUCUUUCUUUCAGAAGACUACUAGAUAAAAAAUAGAAGAUAUCACAUGGAUUGAACUAAAUCUGGAAUGCAGAUUGGCAUAUUUUUGCGGGCGGGGGAGCUUCUAAAGUCUAAAUCAAUGUUAAUUUUAUUUUUUUCCUUGCAGAUGAUGUGACUGUGAAUGAGAACGAUGAGUCAAGAUUAGAUCUACUCGAAAUAGAGAAGAAUGAAGUAAAAGUAAUUCUUGGCCAUCAGAGGGGCACCAAAAGGCUAAAGAGAAAACAGCCAGAAAAUAGAGGGGAGAAGUCAUCCACUUCUCUUGAUAUUCAUGGCUUCCUAUCCCAGCAAGAUCAAAAAGAAAUGAGAAAAGGAAAAUAUAGAAAAAAA
Molecule: long non-coding RNA, 760 nt
Organism: Crotalus tigris (Tiger rattlesnake)
Lineage: Eukaryota; Metazoa; Chordata; Lepidosauria; Squamata; Viperidae
Exons: 2
Source: RefSeq, a predicted model, not a curated record